RNAcentral lists this long non-coding RNA (497 nucleotides) under Homo sapiens (human). Its description in RNAcentral is "non-protein coding LINC00460:4". Lineage: Eukaryota; Metazoa; Chordata; Mammalia; Primates; Hominidae. The record is from RNAcentral.
ACUUCCUGCAGAAAUCCUCCAGCCCUGUUAGAAAUGCCUCAGCCAGGGGGACUCAUCUCCUCAAACCUGGGGGACCGAGACCUAUGAGAGGUCACAGCAUGAGCCAGGACAUCGGAGGUACCCAGACAUUGUUAUGAAACUCCGCAUGUGCCCCUGGUGGACGCUGCUGGACCCAGCAUGCACACUUCUCGGCUAAGAGUCACCCUGGAUGAACCACCAUUGCCAGCGGGGAGCAUGUUGCAGCUUUCCCACGCAGUGGAUGAGAACGAAGGUUACGACCAUUGUGUGGGAGGCGUCUGUGUAGCAAUUGCUGGAAUCACUUGUGGCAUUGUAGAAAGACUGAGCGUGGGAAAGAAGACGCAUUCUGAAGUCACCCCGAUUUAUGUUAAAUUAUCACCUUGACUACUGCUAUAGAACGAAUGUUUAUGUCCCCCACCCAAAUUCGUAUGCUAAGACCUAAUAGCCAAUAAGAUAGUAUUAAUAGAUGGGGCCUUUGG